Molecule: ribosomal RNA, 394 nt
Filed under: Lysinibacillus sphaericus
Lineage: Bacteria; Bacillati; Bacillota; Bacilli; Caryophanales; Bacillaceae
Description: bacterial SSU rRNA
Rfam family: Bacterial small subunit ribosomal RNA
Source: RNAcentral
CAGGUCUUGACAUCCCGUUGACCACUGUAGAGAUAUGGUUUCCCCUUCGGGGGCAAUGGUGACAGGUGGUGCAUGGUUGUCGUCAGCUCGUGUCGUGAGAUGUUGGGUUAAGUCCCGCAACGAGCGCAACCCUUGAUCUUAGUUGCCAUCAUUUAGUUGGGCACUCUAAGGUGACUGCCGGUGACAAACCGGAGGAAGGUGGGGAUGAUGUCAAAUCAUCAUGCCCCUUAUGACCUGGGCUACACACGUGCUACAAUGGACGAUACAAACGGUUGCCAACUCGCGAGAGGGAGCUAAUCCGAUAAAGUCGUUCUCAGUUCGGAUUGUAGGCUGCAACUCGCCUACAUGAAGCCGGAAUCGCUAGUAAUCGCGGAUCAGCAUGCCGCGGUGAAUA